UACGUAGGGUGCGAGCGUUGUCCGGAAUUACUGGGCGUAAAGAGCUCGUAGGUGGCUUGUCGCGUUGGUCGUGAAAACCGGGGGCUUAACCCUCGGCGUGCGGGCGAUACGGGCAGACUGGAGUACUGCAGGGGAGACUGGAAUUCCUGGUGUAGCGGUGGAAUGCGCAGAUAUCAGGAGGAACACCGGUGGCGAAGGCGGGUCUCUGGGCAGUAACUGACGCUGAGGAGCGAAAGCGUGGGGAGCGAACAGG
RNAcentral lists this ribosomal RNA (253 nucleotides) under uncultured bacterium. Its description in RNAcentral is "partial 16S ribosomal RNA". It matches the Rfam family "Bacterial small subunit ribosomal RNA", at positions 524 to 776 of the family's 1533-position model. The record is from RNAcentral.